CAGUCGCCGCGGUAAUACGUAGGGUGCAAGCGUUAAUCGGAAUUACUGGGCGUAAAGCGUGCGCAGGCGGUUUGUUAAGACAGAUGUGAAAUCCCCGGGCUCAACCUGGGAACUGCAUUUGUGACUGGCAAGCUAGAGUCUGGCAGAGGGGGGUGGAAUUCCGCGUGUAGCAGUGAAAUGCGUAGAUAUGCGGAGGAACACCGAUGGCGAAGGCAGCCCCCUGGGCCAACAUUGACGCUCAUGCACGAAAGCGUGGGGAGCAAACAGGAUUAGAUACCCGCGUAGUCCCUGUCUCUUAUAC
Molecule: ribosomal RNA, 301 nt
Filed under: uncultured bacterium
Lineage: Bacteria
Description: partial 16S ribosomal RNA
Rfam family: Bacterial small subunit ribosomal RNA
Source: RNAcentral